Molecule: ribosomal RNA, 254 nt
Filed under: uncultured bacterium
Lineage: Bacteria
Description: partial 16S ribosomal RNA
Rfam family: Archaeal small subunit ribosomal RNA
Source: RNAcentral
CCCCGGCGCCACAAGUGGUUAUCACGAUUAUUGGGCCUAAAGCGUUCGUAGCCGGUUUGGUAAAUCUCUUGUGAAAUUGUUCGGCUUAGCCGGACAGCGUGCAGGAGACACUGCCAGACUCGAGACCGGGAGGGGUUAGAAGUAUUCCAUGGGGACUGGUAAAAUGGGAUAAUCCAUGGAAGACUACCGAUGGCGAAGGCAUCUAACCAGAACGGAUCUGACGGUGAGGAACGAAAGCCAGGGGAGCGAACCGG